This 447-nucleotide ribosomal RNA is filed under the name uncultured bacterium. RNAcentral describes it as "partial 16S ribosomal RNA". It matches the Rfam family "Bacterial small subunit ribosomal RNA", at positions 29 to 523 of the family's 1533-position model. The record is from RNAcentral.
AGCGGACGCUGGCGGCAGGCUUAACACAUGCAAGUCGAACGCCCCGCCAGGGGAGUGGCAGACGGGUGAGUAACACGUGGGAACGUACCCUUUGGUUCGGAAUAACUUGGGGAAACUCAAGCUAAUACAGGAUAAGCCCUUAUGGGGAAAGGUUUACUGCCGAAGGAUCGGCCCGCGUCUGGUUGGCUAGUUGGUGAGGUAAUGGCUCACCAAGGCGACGAUCAGUAGCUGGUCUGAGAGGAUGAUCAGCCAACCUGGGACUGAGCAACGGCCCAGACUUCUACGGGAGGCAGCAGUGGGGAAUAUUGGACAAUGGGGGCAACCCUGAUCCAGCCAUGCCGCGUGGGUGAUGAAGGCCUUAGGGUUGUAAAGCUCUUUUACCCGGGACGAUAAUGACUGUACCGGGAGAAUAAGCCCCGGCUAACUUCGUGCCAGCCGCCGCCGUAA